Molecule: ribosomal RNA, 493 nt
Filed under: uncultured bacterium
Lineage: Bacteria
Description: bacterial SSU rRNA
Rfam family: Bacterial small subunit ribosomal RNA
Source: RNAcentral
GAUGAACGCUAGCGGCAGGCUUAACACAUGCAAGUCGAGGGGCAGCACGGGUAGCAAUACCUGGUGGCGACCGGCAAACGGGUGCGGAACACGUACACAAUCUACCUUUGUCUGGGGCAUAGCCCGAAGAAAUUCGGAUUAACACCCCAUAAAAUAGCAGUCUGGCAUCAGAGAACUAUUAAAUCUCCGGAGGACAGAGAUGAGUGUGCGUCCCAUUAGCAGUUGGUAGGGUAACGGCCUACCAAGGCGACGAUGGGUAGCUGGUGUGAGAGCACGACCAGCCACACGGGCACUGAGACACGGGCCCGACUCCUACGGGAGGCAGCAGUGAGGAAUAUUGGUCAAUGGACGCAAGUCUGAACCAGCCAUGCCGCGUGAAGGAUGAAGGCGUUCUGCGUUGUAAACUUCUUUAUCUGGAAGAAACCUUCUUUUUCUAAGAGAGCCGACGGUACCAGAGGAAUAAGCACCGGCUAACUCCGUGCCAGCCGCCGCU